Molecule: long non-coding RNA, 489 nt
Organism: Folsomia candida
Lineage: Eukaryota; Metazoa; Arthropoda; Collembola; Entomobryomorpha; Isotomidae
Exons: 4
Source: RefSeq, a predicted model, not a curated record
UUAUUCCGUUCUACAUAUUCAUUCGUCUUUUCAAUUAAGCACAUUUAUAAAAAUUUUGUUGAUAAGUGUACUUACAACUAUUUUCUCAUACGUGGCGGUGGAACGUCGUCGUGUGCCUACAUAAAAAAUAUCAUAUUAAUGUUUUUGGGCUGGACUUCACCAUUAACUUCACUGUGUCAAAAAGUUGUGCCCCUACAAAAAUUAGAUUGAACGGCUUAAGUGCACCCAGCGACGUGAUGGAGUCCUCAAACUCUUUCAAUGCCAAGUACAACUCCGACCCUUUAUCCGACUUUUCCACCUUCGCCUUCCCCAGAAUCUUGAAGUGAAAGUACGCUUCAUCCGUCCACUGUGAUUCCCGGUCGAAAAAAUAAAUCCUGUAAUAGGAGUCAUUGAGUCCACAAGGAUGGAAUCCUUGACGAAAGCCACACUCAUCGGAACCAGCAUUGCAAUAUCAUUCGACGGAAUUAGUGGGUCCAGUCUCGUAUUUAU